Molecule: ribosomal RNA, 253 nt
Filed under: uncultured bacterium
Lineage: Bacteria
Description: partial 16S ribosomal RNA
Rfam family: Bacterial small subunit ribosomal RNA
Source: RNAcentral
UACGUAGGGUGCGAGCGUUGUUCGGAAUUACUGGGCGUAAAGGGCGCGUAGGCGGGUUUGCAAGUCGAUUGUGAAAUCCCAGGGCUUAACCCUGGAAUUGCAGUCGAAACUGCAAGUCUUGAAUGUCUGAGAGGGUGGGAGAAUUCCUGGUGUAGUAGUGAAAUACGUAGAUAUCAGGAGGAAUACCGGCGGCGAAGGCGCCUACCUGGCAGUACAUUGACGCUGAGGCGCGAAAGCGUGGGGAGCAAACAGG